AGAAUCUUUCGCAAUGCCCGAAAGGGUGACGAAGCGACGCCGCGUGUGGGAAGAAGGCCUUCGGGUUGUAAACCACUGUCGGGAGUUAAGAAAUGCAAGGGUGUUAAUAGCGCCCUUGCUUGACUAAGGCUCCGGAGGAAGCUACGGCUAACUCUGUGCCAGCAGCCGCGGUAAUACAGAGGUGGCAAGCGUUGUUCGGAAUUAUUGGGCGUAAAGAGCACGUAGGCGGCCUUGAAAGUCAGUUGUGAAAUCCUUCCGCUUAACGGAAGAACUGCAUCUGAUACUCCAGGGCUCGAGUGCGGGAGGGGAGAGUGGAACUUCUGGUGGAGCGGUGAAAUGCGUAGAUAUCAGAAGGAACGCCGGCGCCGAAAGCGGCUCUCUGGUCCGUAACUGACGCUGAGUGUGCGAAAGCUAGGGGAUCAAACGGGAUUAGAUACCCCGGUAGUCCUAGCCGUAAACGAUGGGCACUAAGUAGAGGGGUUUUGAUUAUCUCUCUGCCGGAGCUAACGCAUUAAGUGCCCCGCCUGGGAAGUACGGCCGCAAGGCUAAAACUCAAAAGAAUUGACGGGGGCUCGCACAAGCGGUGGAGCAUGUGGCUUAAUUCGAUGCAACGCGAAGAACCUUACCGGGGUUUGACAUGGUAGAAGUAGGAACCAGAAACGGUAACAAACGGUAUCCAGUCCGUAACUAUCACAGGUGUUGCAUGGCUG
RNAcentral lists this ribosomal RNA (710 nucleotides) under uncultured anaerobic ammonium-oxidizing bacterium. RNAcentral's name for it is "bacterial SSU rRNA". It matches the Rfam family "Bacterial small subunit ribosomal RNA", at positions 358 to 1051 of the family's 1533-position model. The record is from RNAcentral.